RNAcentral lists this transfer RNA (73 nucleotides) under Rhynchactis macrothrix. RNAcentral describes it as "tRNA-Asn". The record is from RNAcentral. Lineage: Eukaryota; Metazoa; Chordata; Actinopteri; Lophiiformes; Gigantactinidae.
UAGAUAGAUGCUCGCUGGUUUGGGCGUUUAGCUGUUAACUAAAAGUUUGCAGGAUCGAGGCCUGCCUAUCUAG